This 29-nucleotide non-coding RNA is filed under the name Rattus norvegicus (Norway rat). Lineage: Eukaryota; Metazoa; Chordata; Mammalia; Rodentia; Muridae. The record is from RNAcentral.
UGACCUUGAAGUCGCAGGACUCACCCUAC